RNAcentral lists this unclassified non-coding RNA (11072 nucleotides) under Homarus americanus (American lobster). RNAcentral's name for it is "uncharacterized LOC121857795, transcript variant X4". The record is from RNAcentral. Lineage: Eukaryota; Metazoa; Arthropoda; Malacostraca; Decapoda; Nephropidae.
GUAGUGGUGAUGGUGAUGGUAACAACUCGCUCUAUAUUCCUGGCUGGCCCUCAACAUCUUUCAACCAACAUCAACAGCACAUAUUUGGCCUUGACAGUGUUUUUUUUAUUAUUGUAACUGAUAAAAUCUGUAGAGUCUGUAGUACGACUUAAUAAUGAAAAUGUGUACACCGAGGAAAGGUCAUGUGUGUAUAUAUAGGUAAUAUAUUAUGUGUGUGUGUGUGUGUUUUAUACAUACUGUGUUUAUCACUAACAAGAAAUAACAAUACACGUAACCAUGUUUGCAAUAUGGUGCUUCGCUUACCUAAUUAGCUGAUCGAUAACAGAUGCUAACCUAACCUAACCUAGCAUAACCUAACCUAACCCAAACUAAACUAAAAACUAACAUAACCAAACAUGAGAGAUCUAUGAGUGCUAUGAAAACCCAUGAGGAUAUUAAGUGAGUUGUGAGUGAUGAGUAAUGAGGGACGAGAUGUGGUGGCCAGGGAUGGUGGUGAUACUGGUAGCUGGUCCCCUGUUCGCCCUCCCUCCUGUACACGCACACAUCCCAGUGAUGGAGGAUGAUGAUGUGAUAGAACCGACCCCAGUGGUGGUGAUGGUGGGGCCCUCAACACACCAGGUGAUGGGGUUGGUGAGUGUCCCGCUAGAAGGCAGCAGUGGUGGUGGCGGCAUCUGGCGGAGGGACACCCAGCAGGAGGGUAGUGGUGGUAUGGUCAGGUUCAAGAGAGAGUACAGCCUUGAGGACUUCCUUCUCUGGAUGCCUUCUGGAGAUGGACCGACGGAGGAAUGGCAGCACCGCCCUCGGGACACCUCGUGGAUAAAAGGCGACGUGAUCACCACUACCGUCUUCCUCACCACCACCGUGUACACUACCGUAGUUCAGCCCAGCCUCACCACCCUCUCCACCAGGUACUUGUCUGCCAAGUCUCCUCCAGAUGAUUUCACCUCCAGCGGCACCAACCCCAACCGGAACUCAGGAGGCAAGGAGCUGGGGGAUGGAUCAAGCCACGACUCCACCAGUACCACAUCUAACAACGACAACAACUGUAUUAACCAGACCAACUUGCUGGCACGACCCCAGAGUGACCACCCUCAGUCACGACCCCAGAGUGACUACCCUCAGUCAGGCAGUCCUACAAACCAACUCCCAGGCACCUCCUCCUCUUCCUCCACCUCGAGGGAGAAGAACAAGAGAGAGAAAAAUGAAAGUAAGGAGACUAACUACGUAACAGUGACCCGGACAAUCACCACACCUCCCCCUACGCUCACCACCACCCACCCCUCGGAGGCUGUCUACGAUGCUACAGACCUCGUCCGUCCCUCCAUUGAAUACCCUGGACCGUCUGCCACCAUCGUCAACCCAUACGCCACGCCUAUCAUCUCCUCGACACAUCUUCCAGGACUGACAGUCACUACAAAACUACCCCCAGCAGCAGGAGAGACAACCAUCAACACCCAGCCAUCACUAUCUUCCUCUACUGACACAUUCAUCCACAUUACACCUACUGCAACGCCUGGAGGAGGGACUAGAGGAGAGCACCCUGAAGGUGGAGUAGUACAGGGCACUCCUGAGUUACCGGACCCCACAAUACUUACUGCUGCCCCCGAGACUUUGAGUAAUGAAGAGUAUCCAACCCCUGAGACGGUGACACCAUUCUCUAGUCCUGGCGGUGUCACGCCCGACGUCGUUGUGCCAGUGGGAUCGCCAGGAACUACCACUGAAGAGGACGUCUCAGUUACCACAGUGGCAGAGGACCAUAACACCCACCACCAUCAGGAGGAGAGACGCCCCUUACCCAGUGUAGAUAUCACAGUUCCUAGUUUUCCUGAUACUGAGGCAACAAGAGGAGGCGUUGCUACAGAAAGCACCAAUAAUGACGUGCCUGACGAAACAGAGACUCGCCCUUGUGUAGAAGGUUCUCCUGAUGCUGUAGAUGAUCACACUCAGGAUUCACCUGACGAAGUCGUCCCUAUCACCACCCCUUCAGGUCUAUUUACUCCUUCCCCCACAGGACUGGACCACCCUCCUCCUCCUCCAGACACCUUCCGGCCAAUGUUUGAGAGGAACACUACCAUCUUUCAUGAGAUAGAGUUGUUUGAUUUGACAACGCCGCCAUCUGACCGCAAUGAAUCCAUCUUGUGGGGAACCGACACAAUGGAUGAUGGUAACACAGCGGAUGAUGGUAACACAGCGGAUGAUGGUAACACAGCGGAUGAUGGUAACACAGCGGAUGAUGGUAACACAGCGGAUGAUGGUAACACAGCGGAUGAUGGUAACACAAUGGAUGAUGGUAACACAGCGGAUGAUGGCAACGCUGCGGAUGAUGGUAACACAGCGGAUGAUGGUAACACAGCGGAUGAUGGCAACGCUGCGGAUGAUGGUAACACAGCGGAUGAUGGUAACACAGCGGAUGAUGGUAACACAGCGGAUGAUGGUAACACAGCGGAUGAUGGUAACACAGCGGAUGAUGGUAACACAGCGGAUGAUGGUAACACAGCGGAUGAUGGUAACACAAUGGAUGAUGGUAACACAGCGGAUGAUGGCAACGCUGCGGAUGAUGGUAACACAGCGGAUGAUGGUAACACAGCGGAUGAUGGUAACACAGCGGAUGAUGGUAACACAGCGGAUGAUGGUAACACAGCGGAUGAUGGUAACACAGCGGAUGAUGGUAACACAAUGGAUGAUGGUAACACAGCGGAUGAUGGCAACGCUGCGGAUGAUGGUAACACAGCGGAUGAUGGUAACACAGCGGAUGAUGGCAACGCUGCGGAUGAUGGUAACACAGCGGAUGAUGGUAACGUAACCUUGACAGUCCCUAUGUUUGUUUAUUCUGAAUCGGUGGACCAGGAAACUGGUCUGGUGUUUAACAUAACAGAAAGUGAAACUUUACCACCAGUCCAAGAUACCAGUGGUGGUGACGGAGGUUUAGUGAUCAGUGUUCACCCUCUGCCACCCACUACUGUCUCGGCUCAGGACUACACCACUAUGGCCCCUCCUGAUGAAGAGAUAGUCACACCUUCUGUCCCUGAGUUCAUGUCCACGACGGGGAGUGUUGAAGCAGUGGACCCCAUACCUACAGGUGAUGAGGUCAUACAAGAGGGCGAUAAUACCACAGUUUGGGAGGGCGUCUUCAUCUAUGAAACUUUUACUUCUGACUCACCAACUUCAGAAGUGUUCACCAGUGACUCUCCUCCACCACUAGAGUCAUCACAGGAAACUCCCACUGAGGUUCCUGAGACUAUUAGCUCGGUCAUAUACACAGACCAACAACUAGAUGUACACGAGUCCUCUACACCAUCAUGGGAAGGAACUACACCAUCACAACCUUCCUCCACAGAUGAAGAGUUGACAGUGUUGACCCACACAAGUGUUCCUAUAGCUUCCACGACAGCCACAGCCCCAGUCUCCAUCACUGUGUCCUUUACCAGCUCCAGGGAGCCCGGGAUGAUCUCCACGCCCAGCACCACAACGCUGCCUGUCAUCCACACCACAAUAAAGUCCGUCAGUCUGUCUACCACUACUGAGAAGAGUUCUUUAACUUCUCCUGCAGGAACCAUACCAGCAACUCCCCGGAUGACGGAACAUAUUACAGGACCUCAGUUCAGUUCACCCAGUCCCAGCAACAGAGCUACAGUUCCACUUGAUCAGAAGUACUGGGUCCGGACAGUGCUGGAGGGGCCACCUCCACAAGACAACUCCUCUCAGCUGUACUGGGCCAAGGUAGAGUCCGAUCUAAGUGGGGUCUAUAGACUGGCCUAUGAGCGCAAAUUUGCCAGACUGUACAAAGCGCAACAAAGAAAAGAUGUUGAUUUGCUUUAUAACACUAAGAUUGAUAUGGCUUUUGCCUCUACUGAGUCACCCAGCGUGACCACAAUGAGUGACCUGUUUGAGAAUUACACCAUAAUCAUCGCCAGGGGGAAGAGAGAUGUGACGGACUCACCUGCCAGUAAACACACACGACCCGUGAGGACACUUUUAGCAGACGUCAACGCUCACGCCGAGCCUCCUAAAAGGUUCAGGACUGCCCCGGGACUCCUGAGAAGGAGAAUAUUAGUCCCUAUCCACACUGUGGCAGUGAAAGAUGAAAAGCCAGUGAGAAAUAUAAACCAGAAAACACUACACGUGAUCACACCUUCUUACAACCCACACACUCGCACCGCAAGACGAAAACGUUGGCUUGAAGGUUAUGUUAAACAUAAACCAAAGUCACCUGAACGAAUGCAGUCACUUUAUACAUCACAGGCACGCAGGAGGCGUACUGCAGCCAAUCAGGUGAAGGUGCGCCUCCAAAACGUAACCUACGACAACACCACAGACCUAACGGAGCUGGUAUACACCGUGUUUGAUGGCGAGGAACCUAUACUGGCGACGGAAGCUGUCGUCUACAUGUCCGAAGUGAACGACAUGGAGAUGGCCAUAAUGAUGGACCAGGUGGUCAAGAUUAAAGCUGAAGAGUAUCUACGUGGUCCAUCGCCGCCACAGAGGCAGGGGACUCUGGUGUAUGGGAUCAUAGGGGGUGUGGUGGGGACGGUGAUGCUGCUCGUGUUCCUCAUCUGGCUCAGUGCCUUCCUCUACAAAAGACACAAGAACACUAGAGAAGAACUACGACCGGACUCUGAGGCAGCAUCACCGAGGAGUCAGCUGAGCACCAAUGCCUACACCGGUCACAUCAACAUGGGCUUCACCCCCAGGGACGAGAAGCUAGAAGCAGUGCCGCUACCUUCGACCUCCCGUGACCUGGAUGAUGACCCGUGUUCUUCCUCUCCUACUGGGUCACAUGACAGCCUCAUCAGCAGACCCAAACAAGGUCUUGUGUUGACAGGUCCAUCACUGGGACGCCACCACAGCCAGGAGGAGGAAGACGACAAGAAAUCAGGGGGUGACUUUUCUAAAGAUGAAGAUUAUAACAUCACAGAGGAGGUAACAGACGGUCGCCGGCUGGAGAAGCAAGGAAUGUCAGUAGAAGAACCCCUGUACAGCUCCCCCAACCCUGUCAACGUCCAGUACCAACCUUCUCACUCCAUCGACUCCAAGUACGACACUACACACUCAGAGUUGACCUCAAGUGACCUCCAAUAUGACCUCACUAACCAACUGAUAUCCAACAUGAAGCAGAGUGCCGAUAGGUUCACUCACAAGGACAAGGGCUCCAUCUUCUUGCCUCCACCGCUCCUCCCACCUCCCAAGGGCUUUGGCAAGGCUCAAUAUUCACCUUUCAUCCCAGGGACGUCCCUUCCUAGGUUCCUGCCACCACCAAGACUUCAUAAACAGGCACAUAUAAAGCUGGGUCAAGGUACUCCUUCUCUGAUCCAGGCUUAUGACUAUGACCCCGAGGCGCCUCCCAUCCCUCCCAGAAACUACACGCGGGAGGAAGCCGACUUGCCACCCCUAGGACAAGGCCACACAUCCCCACUACGUCCCCAAAUGAAGGAUGCCCAGGUGGAAGCCCAUGUGGAGAAUGAGGCUAAUGAAUCAUCUGGGAGCAUUGAGGAGAGAGUUCGGCGGACAUCUGAUUCGUCAACACAUCCGUCAGAGUCAGCUGGGUCAGAGGGGAGCAGUGCUCCUCACAUAGGUCGUCUCCGUCGCCGCUUCCAUGACCUCCUAGAUGAUGCCUUCUCCCUCUUGAAUGGCCAACGCCCUGGGGAUAAAGUCACCCCCCUCACAAGCCCAUCCCCAACCAGGACAGGUCGAUCAAGGUCGGCAGCAGUGCACCACAGGGGCCCAACUCAAGAGGCGGUGGAGGGGGAGGAUAGUGGUGAUGGUGCUGGACGUCCCUGGUCAGCUGCUGCAGUACACACUUCCACCACCACUGCUUGGAGGAACAACCAGGUGGUGGGUGUAGUACCACUGGAGGACAGUAACACAUCACCUAAAUCUGCAUGGGGAGAUGGUGCUGGUCGAUAUGGUGGAAGACCUGGUAGUGCUCGACCUGGUAGUGGAAGACCCGGUAGUGCUAGACCUGGUAGUGCUCGACCUAGCAGCGGAAGACCUGGCAGCGGUCGUCCAGGCAGUGGUCGAAGUGCACGAAGCAUCACCCCGGUCAACCAUCCACCUUCACCAGAUCGAACAGAUGGUGCAUAUGGAGGAUCAGAGGAACCUUUGGACCCAGACACAGGCCUGCGCUCUUCAGACCCUGCCGUCCCUCUCAUCAAGGCCAUCAAGGAGGAGCUGAGACGCUUCAAGUCCACCAUCAGUACCGAGUCCUCCAACAUCUGAUGAGGCUUUUAACAUUAACCCGUAAACAGUAGCCAUCAUCAGCAGAAGUUAGCUACAAGGACAGCCGCCAUCAUCAGUGAAUGUCCCAUUUCCUUACGUUCCUUUAAUAUGUACAGUACAAUGAUAUCUUUCUGGAAGGUACAUGAGACAAACAUUCACUCUUGGAAUAAAAAAUGUCGGGCAUUUCCAUUCUGUGGUAACGAUACAUUUAAAAAUGAAAUUCCAGAUUACUGUGGCUGGUGUUCCCCUUCACCUUGCAAUGACAUUAUGGAAGCUACGCCAUAUAAACAUUGUUCAUAUAGUAUGUGCCUAGCAGACUUAUCACAACACUGUGUUCACAAGAAGCCUCAGAGAAUUGUAAAUUUCUUACAAGUGGGCAGUACAAUCCUCCUCCAAGUGACUAACUCACUGUGUAUCCUCUAAGUAGUUGUUAUAUGUACAGUAGUGGUCUACUUCAGAAAUGUAGUACUACGGAAAGUCUUGUUAGGUGCAAGUAGUAAUCUCCGUAUUCUUUUUAAAUGCGAUGAUUUAAUUUAGAUACGCAGUACUUUCAUGGUUCUUCCAAAUCCCGCGUGGACGUCCUUUAGUGUAACAAGAUAAUGGCUGUUGUUGAAACUUGACUGCAUUUAUCUAAGCACUAGUGGGUUACCUUACCAUGUUUCAGUUGCUUUGAUUUUAAGUCGAGCUUUAUUCCGUAGAUUUGAACAUGUAAGAAAUGAGCUGAAAUGAGGAGUUUUUGGUACUGUACAUUCUUAGUCCAGUUAUAUGGACUUUGAAAUUGAAGAAGACUUUUUUCAAUAUAUGGCAAAUACCUGUGGAUGAACCUAAGAAAACAUGAACACUUUAACCCACAUAGAAUUACUGAGUAAACUUAUAAUAAGUUUGGGAACCUUGGCAAUGAUGUUGUUGUAGUUGGCAGAGAAGUGAGGAAUGUCCUCGGGUAUGAACUUCCAAGAGAAGGCAGUGUAUGGUUGGUUAAUGAUGGUGUGAUGAUAACCACAUCAACGUGUCAUCAAAACCUAAGUCAUUCACAUAUAUCUAAAGAAGAAGAGACAUACAGUAUCUGCAACACAAGUAUCUGUAGGUUGUGGUAGAGCCUGUAAAAUAAUAACGCAUUGGGAACAACACGACAGGGGGACCAAGUAAGGAUGUCUGUCUGUAUGCGAUGGUUAGUUCUCUCCGCAAACUCUCAGUUGUAUUGAAGUGAUGAGAGACCAAACAAGUUUUAUGUCUUCAACUCUGACAAAAACAAUCACAUGGUAGAGACUUGAGUAGACUUAAGAUGAUCUGAAAUAACUUAGAGAGAGAUGUAUGACUGAGGAAAUAUAUAAGUCUGGUUUUAGUGUACAGUUUUGUGGUGACAAUAAUGUAUGUUACUAUGAUGAUUAUACUGUACUGUUAUACCUCUGUGACAGUUUCAUAUCAGGUUGUGUAGGUCAUAGUAAACGUAUCAUUGCCUUUUUAUUACUAUUCAUAGGUUACUCCUAUAUAGACCAUUUUUCUAGAUAUUUAUUGGAAUGCUGAUGUUAUCUCUUCAUAAAACUCCAGCUCGUAUUUUGUGUGUCAAGUUAAUUCGAUUUAAUUGUUUAACAUCUGUCACAAGCUGAUUUUUCAAGACUAUUUUUAAGAUACCCAUUUGUAUAAUAUAUGAGUGUUGAUGAUAGGCUUAACCUCCCCGGGCAAGCUCUACCGAUCAUUAGUUUUACCAUUAUUGAUUUUCCUUUGUGAGUUUUUAAUGUUUGACAAAUGUUGGUGUAAUAUUUCUUUUUGAAUUAAACCUUUAUGACCAUUAUUCUGUUAGCUUUGGUGGUCACCUCUACACUAUGUAUAAGAACAUUGCCAGUGGAAUAUAUUAAUAUACUGUACAGGGUGUCCAUAAAUUAUGUGACUCAUUAUAAAACUUAAUAACCUCAACAAAAUAAUACUGUACUGUAGAUAGUGCACAGGUGGAGAUCUACUGAGACAAGGAUGAUUCUAGUACUGUACUGUAUUGUAUAAUAAAACCAGUGACUUGGAACAAUCUGCCCGACAGUGUUGUGACAGCACCAAGUGUGAGCUCAUACAAGACCAGACUUGAUCAAUGCUGGAGCAGGUUCAGGUACAUUCAGGAGCCAGUGCAUGCCCAGCACUUGCCAACAGUGUGUAACAGAGACGUGACCAACCACCCAAGUGGCUAACGAGUUGAUCAGUGGUGAAGAGGAUAAAAGUAAAAGUGUUCUGUCUAUAAUGUUUUUAAGGUUAUUAAAUUUUAUAAUGAGUCGGAUAAUUUAUUUGAUUGUUUUUCAAGUGACAUUUUUCAAAAGUAAGAAUAAACUUUGCACCUUGAGCUCUGCCUCUUCUUUUAUAUUUCAUCAGUUCCAUUACUUGAUCAAUUACUGUUACAACAAUUCAUUUAAUAGCUUUUUAUAUUUUUUGUUUUUCAUAUGCCAGGUUAUUGUGCCAAAUACUGUACUGUCUACCUUCACUAUUAUCCUCUGUUUCCAAGUAGAGUGGACUUUUCCCUUACAUAUACUGAGGCAGUGUUUGUGAAGGUCAUCAAUGGCUGUCAGUCAUGUGCAGCUUCUCUUAUACCACUGAUUAAUUAUUACUAUUAUUAUUUAAGUUAUUAUUAUUAUUACAGGGUAUUAUUAUUAUUAUUAAUACUAUUACUGUAUUACUAUUAUUAUUAUUAUUAUUAUAACUACUAAUUUUAUUGAUAUUGACUAUAAUUUCAAUAAUAAUACAUAUUUUAUACUGUAUUAAUAAUGUUUGGCAGGCAGCAUCUGUCAUGUUAAUAUCAAGAAACAUUUUACUGUAUGAGGACAAAAUACUUCCGUACUGUGCUAUCAUGUGUGGGAUAUCAACGAGCAGUUCCAGAAAUGACUUCACCAGCCUUACCCCUUUAUGGGAACUGUUAUCCCAAUGUCCAAUUUUAAUGUAGUUUGGGUUUAAAGGUUAUAUUAUACAGAGUGUCCAUGAUUUAUCUGUAAAACUUAAUAACCUCAAAGCAUUAUAGAUAGGACAGGAUGCACAAGAGGAAGUUUACCGAGAUAAGAAAAAACUGAUGAGGUUUUUGCCAAGUAAUAAUAUAACUGGUGUGUUCUUUCUUAUAGAUUUUUUAAGCUCUUAAGUUUUAACAUCAGUCAGAUAAUUUAUGGACACCUUUUUUAACAUUCUUGAACUUUCAUAAUUUGACAGCAAAUUUGGCUUUAACUGAAUUUUUUUUUAAUCUGUCCAGCCCAUUCCCUGUGAGUCAGCCUGCCAGACACUUGGUCAGAGUCAUAAUUUUCUAUGGACCAAAGUUUUAUGUCUUGAGAGUACAAUACUGUUCUGUAGUGGACUCACUGUUAGGCAGAAAAUCUCUCAACAGACAAUAUUUUGGAUGCAAUUAGUGUACAAAUAUGUGUAACUCGAGUUAGGCAGAUAAACUUUUAUCAAAACGUUAUAUAUAGCUUAAUGAAAUACUGUAGAAUUUUGUAGGAAAACUUUAAUUUGGGUGUACAGCAAACAUAGCAUUUUUAUGAUAUUCUCUUCACUCUUACAAGCCUGGGUGGCACUUUGGUGUCUGGGAUCAAGAGUUAUGCACAGUUUCCCUUCAUUCACUGCCAUGCUUUCUCUCUCUCUCUGACUUGUGUUCCCCUUCCUCAAUAAACUUUCAAGAUAUUCAUUCAUCCAUUAAUAUACCAAGAGGAAAAUUAUAUAGAAAUUUUGGAUCAAAUGAAGAGCAGGAGAAAUAUGGGGACAAAAGGAGGGAGUGUUGCAAAACAAGUGUAAAAAAUUGCAGGAAAUGGUUAUACUGUACAAUAAGUAGGGACACUAAACACACCCAGUACAGAAUGAAUCCUAAACCUGUACAGUAUUUCUAAGGAUAAAAUGGCACUCUGUAAUGUGUAGCUCACUCCAGCCUUUCCUGCCUAACAGUUGAUAUAAAACACUGUAGAAUACCAGCACCAAAUAAAUAUGUAUUUGAAUGCUGAACAACUUAUUUUAAUUUAUUUAUUUUUCUCCAUAGAAAUUAUUACCAUUGAGUUUCUUUGUCUUUCUGUCUGUCUGUCUCGUGCUCUGGUGGAGACUUGCUGGUAAGACUUGAUGUUAACAUCAAUAUCAUUAUUCACCUUCUGUUGUUAAUGUUUCUUCAAGCUCUCUACUCUUCCUGAGCUGUUAGAUUGUUCCAACUUGAUCAUCUGAACUCUCUUUAAUAUAAAACCUAAUGUUUGUAGCCAGUCUUAAUAAUGAGCUUUAUAAAAACAUACAAAUGAAGACAGGACUGAACACAUUAGCUCUUCUGUGAUGUUCAUUCCUAAAAUGUAUUUGGUGUUCUGACCAUCCAAAACCAAUAUCAACAGAUGCUUAACAAACCACUGGAUUCAAAGCUUCAUCUACUGUUUUUUGUUUAAUAUUAUUUUGGGGUUAGUCUCUUCAAGUCUAAGCAUUUGAAUCUUAUUAUUUCAUAGGGAAAGGGUCCAUGUAUUGUUCUUGGUCAAUAGUGCAGUAUCCUAUAAUUUAUUUGAGCCAUAGUUAACAUGUAUUCCUGUCUUGCUGAUAAUUAUCAUAUUCCAAGGAAUAGUAAUCCCUACUAUCUCCCUGUUAACGUGUGUAGCACUGGUAGGUGAACAGUAUAAAUCUUUUCCGUCCACAGUUUAACACCGGACACACUAACCCUAUGUACUGUACUGUACUCAAUGACCAGUUCGACGGUCAGUCUUGCUUUCUUUACCUGCAUUAAUCUGUAUCACCUGACAAUCACACUGUUGGGCAUGUGGUCUUGGGACAACUGACAAUUGUAUUUAAAAAGUGAUAAGAGAGGUUGGUCAAGGUGUCUGAAGGACAUCUUAAUGUAAUUUAUAUUAUCUUGGAUAAAUAAAAUGUUUAGAUUA